CCCCCCCGCGUCUGGCUGGAAGGAGCACCUCCUCGCGCAAACGCAUCCUUCAUCCUGGAAAAAACUUAUUUAUUAUGUUCGACUUCCUAAACAAAUAGCACGUUUCUGUAAACCGGGAGGUUAGAGUUCUUCUUUGGUCUGCAGCCCAUCCAGGUGGUAGCGGUGCAGUGGGCCAACAGAAGUCACCUGUGACCUGAAGGCACCAGGACACGUCUGAUGAAGGUCCCCAGGACCUUUGAAGAUCUGGCUGGAAAAGAAGAAACAUGUUAUUGAUUGACUUCAGUGGAACUACUCGGUGUUAUUUUCAACUACGUUGUCAAGUUAGAAGGUAUGCCAGGUUCUAGCUCUUAAAAGUUAAUUUAUUUGUGAUACUUUCCUUGCUGCUAGGGUUAGAUGUAACAACACAGGAGCAAACCAUACAGCAUUUCUGGGACGGACCAAGCUCUAAAAGUGCCUGAGGGUUUCAUUCACGUCCAGUCUCUCCUUUCUCUUUGAAUCUUACACCUGUAGAAGCAGGUGCCAAAGAUGCCAUGCGUUUCCAUUGUGUUUUAGUCUCUGCUUACCCACUUUCUGAGUCAUUGGGUAUAAUACGAACUGUAAACACCAGUAAAGAAACUAAAGUGGCAGGCCACGCUAGUUUUUUUAGCCAUGUGACAGCAGUUUUCAAAUCCUAAUAGAAAAAUAGUAGUAGUAGUAGCGUAAAACACCGCUUCUUGAAUAUGCUUAGAGCACCUUGGCUACUCUAUAUAGUAUAUUAUAUAUAUAUACACUAUUCUAUACUUAUUCUAUAAGUAGCAAAGUUUUACUCAAGCUCAAACUAUCCCAACAUACGCAGCAUACCAAGAGAGUAGAUGUUUGCAGAGCACUCACUUUCCAAAGCAGGAGAUUUCGUGACCUGUGGAGACUUAGAGUAUAACUCAUUCCGCUCAACACCCCUGUCUGUAAGUUGUCACCUAAUGAAACAAAAGCGUGGUUCUUUAAAACCCACACUAAUGUCUCAUAUGACAAAUAGGAAUAUUUUGAUAGAUAUCUCCUUUGAUUUAUGUUUCAGAAAAAUAUAAACAUUUUUAUAUUGGAAACAGAAUCAGAAUUCUGCUCUGUAACAUUGAUUAUAAAAGGCUUUAAAUGUUCUCUUUCAAAAAGAAAAUGCCUACAUCUGAGUCUCGUCUAUGCGUAAAUUCACAUAGUUAGUAAAAAGCGUCAAUCUUAUGUGGAUUUAAAGAAGCCAGUACAAAACUCUUUUAGAACAUUUAAAUCUACUAGAAUUUGAUUUACAUCAUUUUGGGUGGUCUAAGCAAAUGUAUAUAUAUCAAAUGUAUCAAUUUUGAGUGAGAGCUGAUACGUUAAAUGGCCUUUAUAAUCUGCAGUUCCUGCAAGGACUGGCUGUUUAGUGAUAUCCAAGCAGUUUAAAGUUUCAAAUUCAAAAUAGUUCUUUAAAAACUGUGAAAUCUAUAUUUGCAAUCCUCUUUGCAAUCGCAUAUUUUUUCAGUUUUUUCUUUUUUUUUUUUAUUUGAUUAGAAGAGAUGAAGAUCCUCUGGUUUUAUACCACCUAUUUCAAAUAGUAAAGGCCUUUUUAUCAUUGAAAACUCAGUAAGGACUUUUAAGCAGAGUGCUUUAAAAGGAUGAUUGUAGCAGCUGUUUUGACCCAAUAGCUCCUCCUGUUGUGUUUAAAUAUUGCAUCAGUAUUGGGCUCUUUUCUUUUUUCUUUCCUUUUCUUUCCUUUUCUUUCCUUUUCUUUCCUUUUCUUUCCUUUUCUUUCCUUUUCUUUCCUUUUCUUUCCUUUUCUUUCCUUUUCUUUCCUUUUCUUUCCUUUUCUUUCCUUUUCAUGCACAAGUUCAAACCAAGAAUAAGCUGACUCGGUCCUUUUUGUGGUGUUCUGGAGAUUUUCAAAAUAUGUAUUGUUUUCUGAAUUUAUUAAAGAGUUGAUGGUGCUGAAGAGAAAAUGACAAUGUUUUCUGAAAAAAAUAUAAUAAUCAAUGCAGCUGGAACAGUCACAGAGAGAUUACUCAAGUAUUAAGUUUUCUUUGCCACUCAGCCUCUGAUUUAAAUCAUCAAGAGUCAAAGCAAGGCAUUAAGAUGUCCCCUUUUGUAAGGGGACAUCCCUUCUGCUGGGGACAUCCUCAUGUCUACUGACGUACACAUGGAGAGGAAGAAGCUCAGAGUGGGAACACGGACCAAACUGUGUCCUCUCACAUCAGCACCAAUAAAAGCUUGGGAAAGAAAAGGCUGUGCCUGCCUCGUGACAAGUCCAUGACUAGGAAAUUAGUGGCGGGGUGUGUGUGUGUGUGCAAAUUGUGGCUUUCUGAAUGGCAUCUUCCAAAGUGUCACAAGUUGACCUACCCAGCACCAUCCUGAGAAACAGAGAAGUCUAGGGAAAUUCUCAAAACCAUGGUAAGCCUCUCAAAAAUCCCAAGCUGGGUGUAUGCUUUGUCUGACACGAAGUUGUGGCUCCUCUUUAGGUUGUCAUCUGUUCAGAUGCAGGUUGCCAAGAUGCGUACCUCAGAGGCAAAAAAAUAUACUUACAGUAGUCAAUAGAAACAACCUGGUGAGCUACAGAGAAAGCAUCAGCUCUCUGGUUAUAAUCUUGCCUUGAAAAUGCGUAUUUUGCAAAGAAAUUCUCUUGGGUGCGUCUGUUGCUGUUGGUGUCGCUGAUUAUUUAGGUGGGCUUCAUGUUACUUUACCAGUUUCGUGCUCGUGCUUCUCGGAUAUCGCUUUUGUGAUUGGUAAAGAAGUUUUCAGCGAACGCGGAAGUGUUGUUGAGUGAAACGUACUUGACAGCCAUUAUUCCUGAAGUAAUCCUGUAUGUUCGAAAUUUGGCAUUUUUCUGUCUUUUAAAAUGUAUUUUUAUUUACAGCCCAUCGGGGAAUUUAUUUUCUAUUACUUUGAUUUUUGGCGAGCCAUUAGCAAAAACUGAACAAUUUGUGGGUCCGUAUUUCAUUCCUGAACUAUGCGAAACUGGCAAAAAUACCGAACCCACUACUUGCAUUUAAAAAAAGCUUCUAUUAGAAUAUAUGUGUAUAAAAAGACUAUAACUCUGUGCUUAUUUUAUUUUCUUCAUAAAGUUGUCAUCCUGCCUACAAGAUCGGUUUACAACUGGAAAAGUCAGAAUUUAAUGACUAAUUCUGUAACACGAAAAACAUAUGGUCUCCAUAAUCAUUACAUUCUUAAUGAUGUGGCUUGGACAGAGUCAUUCAUGGCUUGUAGAGUCAUUCGUCCUUGAAAACUGCCUUACCUUGGGGAGGUAUCGCUGAUGGUCUCCAACAUGCCAUUAACGUUCUUUCAUGAGGAAAGACAAUGCCAAGUGUAUCGUAUUUUCUCAGAUGACAGCCUUCCUUAGGCUGUAUGGACACCUCCUUUAAGUGCUUAGAA
Molecule: long non-coding RNA, 3369 nt
Organism: Chroicocephalus ridibundus (black-headed gull)
Lineage: Eukaryota; Metazoa; Chordata; Aves; Charadriiformes; Laridae
Exons: 3
Source: RefSeq, a predicted model, not a curated record